GGCUUAUAAUGAGGCUGAGGUAAGAGUAGGAACGAAAAAGGUGUAGGCAUAACAUAGAAAUGUGAGGCAGCCAUGGAAAGUUGUGCUAAAUUAAAGUGAGUCCAACCUAUACAUCACAAGACACAUGUUUACUUCUUUUAUUUUCUCUUACUUCCCUUUUUCUUUCUUUGUUUCCAACCAUUUUCUGCUCAUAACCAUAAUCUUUUUUCUCGAUUUUUCUUCUUUCUCUGUUUUUUUUUUCAAACUCAAAGGUUUUCCAACUUUAUUUAUUUUUCUUUUGAUUAGCCUAUUUGUGGCACACUUCCCCCACACUUGAGUUUCACAUAACUCUUUCUCAGUUUCAUACAUAACACCUCAAAACUCCAUAGGUGGGUGGUUGAUUUGUAAAACCUUAUUUAUCUCCUGAGCUCCCUCACUCU
This 419-nucleotide long non-coding RNA is filed under the name Vigna radiata. RNAcentral describes it as "long non-coding RNA (VRAD_LNC018054)". The record is from RNAcentral. Lineage: Eukaryota; Viridiplantae; Streptophyta; Magnoliopsida; Fabales; Fabaceae.